GAGGAAUAAGCAUCGGCUAACUCCGUGCCAGCAGCCGCGGUAAUACGGGGGAUGCAAGCGUUAUCCGGAAUCAUUGGGCGUAAAGCGCCUGUAGGUUGUUUAAUAAGUCUGUUGUUAAAGACUAGGGCUUAACCCUAGAAAAGCAAUGGAAACUACUAGACUAGAGUAUGGCAGGGGUAGAGGGAAUUUCUAGUGUAGCGGUGAAAUGCGUAGAUAUUAGAAAGAACACCGGUGGCGAAAGCGCUCUACUGGACCAUUACUGACACUCAGAGGCGAAAGCUAGGGUAGCAAAAGGGAUUAGAUACCCCUGUAGUCCUAGCCGUAAACGAUGGAUACUAGAUGUUGUGCAUAAUGUACAGUAUCGUAGCUAACGCGUUAAGUAUCCCGCCUGGGGAGUACGCUCGCAAGGGUGAAACUCAAAGGAAUUGACGGGGGCCCGCACAAGCGGUGGAGCAUGUGGUUUAAUUCGAUGCAACGCGAAGAACCUUACCAGGGCUUGACAUACUACAGAUUCUUUUGAGAAAAAGAAGUGCCUUCGGGAAUGUAGAUACAGGUGGUGCAUGGCUGUCGUCAGCUCGUGUCGUGAGAUGUUGGGUUAAGUCCCGCAACGAGCGCAACCCUUAUUUUUAGUUACUAAUUCGUUAGGUUCUCUAGAAAGACUGCCGGUGACAAACCGGAGGAAGGUGAGGAUGACGUCAAGUCAGCAUGCCCCUUAUGUCCUGGGCUACACACGUGCUACAAUGGUUAAGACAAAGAGUCGCGAGCUCGCGAGAGUCAGCUAAUCUCAUAAACUUAGCCUAAGUUCAGAUUGUAGGCUGCAACUCGCCUACGUGAAG
RNAcentral lists this ribosomal RNA (836 nucleotides) under Haptophyta environmental samples. RNAcentral describes it as "bacterial SSU rRNA". It matches the Rfam family "Bacterial small subunit ribosomal RNA", at positions 481 to 1325 of the family's 1533-position model. Lineage: Eukaryota; Haptophyta. The record is from RNAcentral.